UGGGGAAUUUUGGACAAUGGGCGAAAGCCUGAUCCAGCAAUGCCGCGUGUGUGAAGAAGGCCUUCGGGUUGUAAAGCACUUUUGUCCGGAAAGAAAUCCUCUGGGUUAAUACCUCGGGGGGAUGACGGUACCGGAAGAAUAAGCACCGGCUAACUACGUGCCAGCAGCCGCGGUAAUACGUAGGGUGCAAGCGUUAAUCGGAAUUACUGGGCGUAAAGCGUGCGCAGGCGGUUUUGUAAGACGGAUGUGAAAUCCCCGGGCUUAACCUGGGAACUGCAUUCGUGACUGCAAGGCUAGAGUAUGGCAGAGGGGGGUAGAAUUCCACGUGUAGCAGUGAAAUGCGUAGAGAUGUGGAGGAAUACCGAUGGCGAAGGCAGCCCCCUGGGCCAAUACUGACGCUCAUGCACGAAAGCGUGGGGAGCAAACAGGAUUAGAUACCCUGGUAGUCCACGCCCUAAAACGAUGUCAACUAGUUGUUGGGGAUUCAUUUCCUUAGUAACGUAGCUAACGCGUGAAGUUGACCGCCUGGGGAGUACGGUCGCAAGAUUAAAACUUAAAGGAAUUGACGGGGUCAUAGCUGUUUCCU
This 586-nucleotide ribosomal RNA is filed under the name uncultured bacterium. RNAcentral's name for it is "partial 16S ribosomal RNA". It matches the Rfam family "Bacterial small subunit ribosomal RNA", at positions 355 to 1375 of the family's 1533-position model. The record is from RNAcentral.